Non-coding RNA from Nylanderia fulva, 3191 nucleotides. The record is from RefSeq and is a predicted model, not a curated record. NCBI's taxonomy places the organism in Eukaryota, Metazoa, Arthropoda, Insecta, Hymenoptera, Formicidae.
AUUGAAAUAUGCUCGAAGAAUCACGAACUCGUACCUGGAUUACUUGCUGCGAAAAUAGCGAAUCUGCGUUACGGUGGUGUUCAGAAACUGUUGAGUGAGUUAUGCAAGCACAAGUUGCUCAGCUACGAACGAGGAAUACGAUAUGAUGGUUUUCGCUUGACAAAUGCUGGUUAUGAUUACUUGGCUUUGAAAGUCUUAACACAAAGAGGAACAAUUUCUUCUUUUGGUAAUCAGAUUGGUGUUGGCAAGGAAUCUAAUAUCUAUAUCGUUGCCAAUGAUGAGGGGACUUCUCUUUGUUUAAAAUUACAUAGAUUAGGUAGAACGUGCUUCCGAAAUAUUAAGGGAAAGAGAGACUAUCAUCAGCACAGGCAAUCCGCAUCUUGGUUAUAUCUAUCAAGACUUUCAGCAACUAGAGAAUUUGCCUAUAUGAAAGUACUCUUGGAUAGAGGUUUUCCUGUGCCAAAGCCAAUUGAUUUUAACAGGCAUUGUGUUAUAAUGGAGCUGGUUGAAGGUGGACCUCUAUGUAACGUACAUGAAGUAAACAAUGUGGAAACAUUGUAUGAUGAACUCAUGGAUUUAAUUGUUAGACUGGCAAAUCAUGGUGUUAUACAUGGAGAUUUUAAUGAAUUUAACAUAAUGAUUAAAAAUGAUGGCAAGCCAGUUAUUAUUGAUUUUCCACAAAUGGUUUCUACAGAACAUGAGAAUGCAGAAGAAUAUUUUCAAAGAGAUGUAAAUUGCAUUCGUGAUUUUUUUAAAAGACGUUUUGGAUAUGUGAGUGAACUGUACCCAACUUUCCAAGAUGUAUUACGUGAGGAUUGUAUAGAUGCUGAAGUUAAAGCUAGCGGUUUAAUGAAACAAAUGCAAAAAGAUCUCUUAAAGAAUUAACCAUAACAGAUGAUGACAACGAAGAAGAUACUGAAGAAGAAACGUACGAGGAUUGCAUUAAAAAUGCUGAAAAUUUAGAAGAUCAAGUAAAUAAUUUACAGCUUGAAUCUGAAAUUCCUAAAAAAGAAGAAUUUGUUUUUACACACAAUAAAGAAGCGAUACAAAAUAAUGAACGUUUGGAGGAAAUAUCUACAACAAUAUAUUCUCAAAAACAAGAUAAUUCAGAAAAUAAAUGUAAAGUAAAUAAUGAACAUGCAUUAUUUGACUUAUCAUCAAAUGCAGAAGACGAAAUAGCACAUAUUAAUGAUUAUGAUGAUGUACAAAGUAUACGGAGUGUAUCAACAGCUGCUACAAUUGCACCAGAAGUAAUAAAAAAAGAGAGUAAAAGCCGCGCUUGCUAAUCGCGAAAGAAGAGCCAAUCAAAGAGGUUACUCGUUAAAGGAGAAGCGAGUGCAGUAACAAGGACACGAAGGGAAAAUAGAGAUACAAUUAAACAGGAAUUAACAGGAAUUUGGGUUUGGAGUGAAGCACUAGUCAUACAGUCACACGUCCCUGCGAACAUAGAGCUCAUUGAUAGCAGAAUGGAAAGGCCAAAUUGCAAUAUACGGUGCGCCGAUCGAUUUUACUAGUUCCGGCAAAAUAACGUGUCUCCACGACGCCAAUGGUGCAGUUGCGAAAUAUGGACAAAUUGGACAGUUCGUUAAAUUCGCAUCUACCUAAAGGAUGCACGUUGUUGAUAGUGGAGAAGUGAAGAAAACAGCUUAAUAGGCAAUAAUAAGGUCAUGGUGAUAGCGCAAGACUUAUACACGUAUAACUGCGACGCGUGUAUAUAUAGCAGCGAGUUCUCUCCUGAGCAUUGAGUCUCUUCGUUCCAUUCGUUCUGUGCUUAUCAAAAUAUUUGGAAGCGUGAAGCUUUCCCAACGAUAAGUUGCACCUCGUUACAGUGAUUUCUUUUUUUUUCUUUAAAUUCUUAAACCAUGGCUAAGAACAAUCUCAGUGCUAUAUUGUACGGCAUCAAUGAUAUACGCCUGGAGAACACGAGUAUCGAAGAACCAGGAGAUAAUGAGGUGCUUUUGGAAAUGGGAUGUGUAGGAAUUUGUGGAUCAGAUGUUCAUUAUCUUGUUAAUGGAAGGAUUGGUGAUUUUAUUGUAAAGAAACCCAUGAUCAUCGGUCAUGAGUCUUCUGGGACUGUUGCCAAACUUGGGAAAAAUGUCACAAAUUUGAAGGUUGGUGACCGCGUUGCCAUUGAACCCGGUGUGCCCUGCAGAAUGUGUAACUUUUGCAAGGAGGGACGUUAUAAUCUGUGCAAGGAUGUAGUGUUUUGCGCGACUCCGCCUGUGCAUGGCACCCUGAGACGUUUUUACAAACAUGCGGCUGAUUUUUGCUUCAAAUUGCCCGAUCACAUGAGUUUAGAGGAAGGAGCGCUUUUAGAGCCGUUGGCAGUGGGAGUUCGUACUUGCAAACGUGCCGAAAUCGGUAUCAGUUCUAAUGUAUUAAUUCUGGGAGCUGGUCCGAUCGGCUUGGUCACAUUGUUGGUCGCCAAAGCCAUGGGUGCAAAUAAAAUAGUUCUAACGGAUAUUGUAGAAAGUAGACUGAAGAUAGCGAAGAAACUCGGCGCUGACGACACAUAUCUGUUGCAAAAGGAUAAAUCAGAAAAGGAUGUAGUAGCUGACAUUCAUGCAAUCUUUGGUGAUGAACCUGAUAGAACAAUAGACGCUUCUGGUGUCCAAGCUUCGAUUCGUUUAGCAAUUCUUGCAACGAAAUCUGGUGGAAUCGCGACAAUAGUGGGAUUGGGUGCUCCAGAGGUACAAAUUCCAUUAAUAAAUGCUUUGGUCAGGGAAGUUGAUAUUAGGGGUAUCUUCCGAUAUGUAAAUGACUAUAACGACGCAUUGAAUCUUGUCGCAUCUGGCAAGGUAAAUGUAAUGCCAUUGAUCACUCACAAUUAUAAAAUAGAGGACACCAAGCAAGCAUUCGAGACUAGUAAAGCUGGAGGCGAUGUUAUUAAAGUUAUGAUUCAUUGUAAUUAGAUGAAUCAUGGUUGAAAGCUGUACAGUUCACAAAGUUGUAUGACAAAGUUUUUUCAUGACACAACAGAAGAAUAUAUUACAAUAACAGGAGAAUAAUUUCUAAGCAACAACACACAGCGAGGGAAUUUAAGGAUAGAACUUCCUUGUAGAAUUGUUUCUAUAUGUGUUGCAAUAUGAGAGGAAAUGGAGAAAACAUCUAUUAAAUGUAAGCCCACAAAAUAGUUUUAAUUUUAACAUUACCAAGAAUAAAAAAGCCAUAUUAUGUGCAUUUACUAUUAA